RNAcentral lists this ribosomal RNA (740 nucleotides) under uncultured bacterium. RNAcentral describes it as "bacterial SSU rRNA". It matches the Rfam family "Bacterial small subunit ribosomal RNA", at positions 8 to 796 of the family's 1533-position model. The record is from RNAcentral.
AGAGUUUGAUCAUGGCUCAGAACGAACGCUGGCGGCAGGCUUAACACAUGCAAGUCGAGCGCCCCGCAAGGGGAGCGGCAGACGGGUGAGUAACGCGUGGGAACGUGCCCUAAGGUACGGAACAACUCCGGGAAACUGGAGCUAAUACCGUAUGUGACCGAGAGGUGAAAGAUUUAUCGCCUUGGGAUCGGCCCGCGUUAGAUUAGCUAGUUGGUGGGGUAAAAGCCUACCAAGGCGACGAUCUAUAGCUGGUCUGAGAGGACGAUCAGCCACACUGGGACUGAGACACGGCCCAGACUCCUACGGGAGGCAGCAGUGGGGAAUCUUGGACAAUGGGCGCAAGCCUGAUCCAGCCAUGCCGCGUGAGUGAUGAAGGCCCUAGGGUUGUAAAACUCUUUCGUCAGGGACGAUAAUGACGGUACCUGAAGAAGAAGCCCCGGCUAACUUCGUGCCAGCAGCCGCGGUAAUACGAAGGGGGCUAGCGUUGUUCGGAUUUACUGGGCGUAAAGCGCAUGUAGGCGGGUCGUUAAGUUGGGGGUGAAAUCCCGGAGCUCAACUCCGGAAUUGCCUUCAAAACUGGCGGCCUGGAGCAGAAGAGAGGCGAGUGGAAUUCCGAGUGUAGAGGUGAAAUUCGUAGAUAUUCGGAGGAACACCAGUGGCGAAGGCGGCUCGCUGGCUUCUUGCUGACGCUGAGAUGCGAAAGCGUGGGGAGCAAACAGGAUUAGAUACCCUAGUAGUCC